This 900-nucleotide ribosomal RNA is filed under the name Microbacterium sp. RNAcentral's name for it is "bacterial SSU rRNA". It matches the Rfam family "Bacterial small subunit ribosomal RNA", at positions 547 to 1444 of the family's 1533-position model. The record is from RNAcentral. Lineage: Bacteria; Bacillati; Actinomycetota; Actinomycetes; Micrococcales; Microbacteriaceae.
GGAAUUAUUGGGCGUAAAGAGCUNGUAGGCGGUUUGUCGCGUNUGCUGUGAAAUCCGGAGGCUCAACCUCCGGCCUGCAGUGGGUACGGGCAGACUAGAGUGCGGUAGGGGAGAUUGGAAUUCCUGGUGUAGCGGUGGAAUGCGCAGAUAUCAGGAGGAACACCGAUGGCGAAGGCAGAUCUCUGGGCCGUAACUGACGCUGAGGAGCGAAAGGGUGGGGAGCAAACAGGCUUAGAUACCCUGGUAGUCCACCCCGUAAACGUUGGGAACUAGUUGUGGGGUCCAUUCCACGGAUUCCGUGACGCAGCUAACGCAUUAAGUUCCCCGCCUGGGGAGUACGGCCGCAAGGCUAAAACUCAAAGGAAUUGACGGGGACCCGCACAAGCGGCGGAGCAUGCGGAUUAAUUCGAUGCAACGCGAAGAACCUUACCAAGGCUUGACAUAUACGAGAACGGGCCAGAAAUGGUCAACUCUUUGGACACUCGUAAACAGGUGGUGCAUGGUUGUCGUCAGCUCGUGUCGUGAGAUGUUGGGUUAAGUCCCGCAACGAGCGCAACCCUCGUUCUAUGUUGCCAGCACGUAAUGGUGGGAACUCAUGGGAUACUGCCGGGGUCAACUCGGAGGAAGGUGGGGAUGACGUCAAAUCAUCAUGCCCCUUAUGUCUUGGGCUUCACGCAUGCUACAAUGGCCGGUACAAAGGGCUGCAAUACCGCGAGGUGGAGCGAAUCCCAAAAAGCCGGUCCCAGUUCGGAUUGAGGUCUGCAACUCGACCUCAUGAAGUCGGAGUCGCUAGUAAUCGCAGAUCAGCAACGCUGCGGUGAAUACGUUCCCGGGUCUUGUACACACCGCCCGUCAAGUCAUGAAAGUCGGUAACACCUGAAGCCGGUGGCCUAACCCUUG